This 335-nucleotide ribosomal RNA is filed under the name uncultured bacterium. RNAcentral's name for it is "bacterial SSU rRNA". It matches the Rfam family "Bacterial small subunit ribosomal RNA", at positions 1 to 334 of the family's 1533-position model. The record is from RNAcentral.
CUAGCAGUAUCAGAGUUUGAUCCUGGCUCAGAGUGAACGCUGGCGGCAGGCCUAACACAUGCAAGUCGAGCGGCAGCGCGGGGGCAACCCUGGCGGCGAGCGGCGGACGGGUGAGGAAUGCGUCGGAAUCUGCCUCUUUGUGGGGGAUAACGUAGGGAAACUUACGCUAAUACCGCAUACGACCUACGGGUGAAAGCGGGGGACCUUCGGGCCUCGCGCAGAGAGAUGAGCCGACGCCGGAUUAGCUAGUUGGCGGGGUAAAGGCCCACCAAGGCGACGAUCCGUAGCUGGUCUGAGAGGAUGAUCAGCCACACUGGAACUGAGACACGGUCCAG